UCUGUUUUCUCCUUUUACGGUUUGUGAUUUACAGUAAUUUAUUUAUAACCUACUUGUUUUUGACUUCACGUAUCUAUCAAUUAUCAGGUAAUCAACCGGAAAAGUUGCUUGAAAGCAGAAUUAGUUAUUAAACGACCUGUUAUCCUUUUCCUAUUUCGAUUAAUGACAAAAACUAAAAUCAUGCUGAGGGCAAAUAUCGAAAAGGAUAACUAUGAUAGAAUUAAUAAACUUCUUCAAGGAGCAGCAACUCCAGCAGUUAAACAAAAGUUUGACAAAGAGUUUGACCCCAGUAUAUUAAAAUCAACACUUAAUAAAAGUUUCAUUGGAUUGGCAAAAUUGAAAAAACAGAGAGUCAUCAACCAGCAACAAUGGACUUUGUUAUUCCCUAAAAAUGGUGCACCAUCAUCCUCGGACUUUGACCUAACUUUAAUGAUAUGUCUGCUGCGAAAUUUUACGGAUAUAGAUAAAUCUGAUGUAUUUCCCAUCGAAACCGACACAAGUGAUGCUGCAAGUCUUUUGAGAUUGAAACACUACAGAAACAACAUAGUUCAUAGUAAGACAUUUACUUUGUCUGACGAAGACUUUAAACAAUACUGGGAACAUAUUACUUGUGCGGUUUGCAAACUUGGUGGUGAAAGUUACAAAGAAAUGUGUUUGCAAGUUAAAUGCGGUCAACCGGACGAAAAGGAAAAAAGAUAUGAAAAUGACUGCCAAAAGUGUACGAGAACCCGACAAAGAAGAAAAUUGGAUAUAACACACAGGGAGAUAUUUUCCUAUAACGGUUGUAAUUAAAGACAAUCACAGAAGCAUUUGAACAACCACUUUUAAGUAGUAUCAGGAUAACCUGAAAGAGGAAACACCGGUCUUUUUCGCUAUGUUGCUUCAAUCUUCUGAAAAACACAACGAUCUGCCAACAAUCUAGACAUUAUUCAAAAAUUUCCUUGCACUUAACAUGCUUAGUAUUAUCAUACAUAAACUGAAAAUCAAAAAACUAACACAAACAACCGAAACUGUAUACAAUCCUCCGGAAACAAAUAUGACGACGAAAGUGUUUAUUCAGGGAAGCAGACAUGGAGGGCAGAAUUGCAUUAUUAAAGGAUAAAUUAAGCGUAACAUACAACCAGGGUAGACUUGUACUGCAAUUAGUUGCCGGUUCAGCAGGUUUAAUUGAAAAGUUUUGUUUCGAGCAAAUUUCACUAUCAGACAGGCCUGGUCCGAGUAUACAUGCAGCCGUUAUUUAUGAAAAAACGUACAUGUAUAUAAGAGCGUUUAUUACAUAGGUAUUUUCAUUAUACUAAUGAUUAAAAGCGAUCCUAAUGCUUAAAAAUGAAUAACUGGAUAUCUCCUCAAAUUGCAUGCCGCAAACUGCAUGCAAUGUCAAUAUUCAAGAUAAAUCUGGAUAAACGGCGUUGCAUAUAGGAGCUGGAGGACGCAAAUCGUCGAUCGUAAAAAUGGAAAGACAGCGUUAUCUUACAUACGUGAAAAUGACAACAGACAAAUAGUCAAACUAUUUUUCUGGAAACAUUAGCAACAGAGGGAGUAAAAAGUGAAAUUAAAAAAAAAGUUCAAUCAAGAUUAAUAAGUGAUAAUAUCAGAGUAAUAAACACUUUUAAAUAUAUAUUUAUUCACAAUUAACAUUAUGUCAAGCUGCUUGGCAAAAGAGAUAUGGAAUAUACGUUAUUGAGAGAGCAACCAGAGGACAAACUAAAAAAUCAAUAGAUCUCAUGAUUAAUAAAAUUGCUUAUCAGGUUAAACCCAACAUUUUCUUCGGAUAAUGCCUGUACCAAGUCAGGAUAUUUGACAUGUGUUCUCCAUUUGUUCCGUUGGUCGAUAUACAAAUGUCGUCUAACGUUUGAUUUUGUCUGGUUUUAUGGACUUCUCCCAUUUUGAAUUUUCCUUGGAGAUUGUUAUUUUUCUUAAUACUUAUUUACCCAAGUGAGUCAUUAUUUUUCAUUUUAAAUCGUCAAUUGUCGUUAUAUAGUCCCCUUUUAAAACAUUAUAAACGUCCAAUCCUUAGACGAUAAUGAUUUCAGUGUGCUCAACUUAAAGUGGCAACUAUGUCUUACACAUUCAUUACGAGAACAAAUGAAUAAUUUUUUUAAGGGUUCUUUCGCUUGCUGAAGGCGUUUAACUCGCCUUCAAUGAGGCAUAGUCAUUAACCCAAUUCUGAUCUAGAUCCAACGGUUUGCUGUUCUUUCUUUUUCUUUUAGUAAGAUUGAACUGUUUCUGUAUUUCAUUAUUGACAAGCGGAUGUAAAGUUGAGCUCUUGACUAUACGUUGCAUUGCGCUUUAAUGGAAAAUUGCCCAAUCAAUAUGCCGAUUCAGAUUCUAAAUCAUUCUUGUAAUUGCUUACAUCAACGUCCUUUGCUAAUCUACAUCCAUUGUGUAUUUGGAUUAUAAACAUCAUAAUUAAUGGGAGGCGGCUUUCCUGAUAUGGAACUUGCGCCCUUUGCGUGUAUUUGGACUACAUUUUCAGAAGCUUAUAUCCAAACCGUUUGGAAGAAAAUGACGUUUUAUAUAUUGACUUUUUUAUAAAUUACGAUAUUAAUCACUUACAAUAUUGAUGACUUUGAUGUAUGAAAUAUGCUCUGAAUAACAGCGGCCGAUAUUAGAGUGUACAAUGAAUAAGCAGAUUG
RNA transcript from Mytilus californianus (California mussel), 2636 nucleotides. RefSeq lists it as uncharacterized. NCBI's taxonomy places the organism in Eukaryota, Metazoa, Mollusca, Bivalvia, Mytilida, Mytilidae. The transcript is spliced from 5 exons. The record is from RefSeq and is a predicted model, not a curated record.